AGAGUUUGAUUCUGGCUCAGGAUGAACGCUAGCGGCAGGCUUAACACAUGCAAGUCGAGGGGCAGCGGGAUGUAGCAAUACAUUGCCGGCGACCGGCGGAUGGGUGCGUAACGCGUAUGCAACCUACCUUAUACAGGGGAAUAACCUUUCGAAAGGGAGACUAACACCCCAUGGUAUUGAUUUUAAGGCAUCUUAGAUUAAUUAAAUAUUUAUAGGUAUAAGAUGGGCAUGCGUAUGAUUAGCUAGUUGGUAAGGUAACGGCUUACCAAGGCGACGAUCAUUAGGGGUUCUGAGAGGAAGGUCCCCCACACUGGUACUGAGACACGGACCAGACUCCUACGGGAGGCAGCAGUGAGGAAUAUUGGUCAAUGGGCGCAAGCCUGAACCAGCCAUGCCGCGUGCAGGAAGACGGCCUUAUGGGUUGUAAACUGCUUUUACAUAAGACUAACCGUAUAUUUGCGAAUAUACCUGAAUGUAUUAUGAGAAUAAGGAUCGGCUAACUCCGUGCCAGCCGCGGC
RNAcentral lists this ribosomal RNA (518 nucleotides) under uncultured bacterium. RNAcentral's name for it is "bacterial SSU rRNA". It matches the Rfam family "Bacterial small subunit ribosomal RNA", at positions 8 to 518 of the family's 1533-position model. The record is from RNAcentral.